RNAcentral lists this long non-coding RNA (371 nucleotides) under Malus domestica (apple). RNAcentral's name for it is "long non-coding RNA (MDOM_LNC008435)". The record is from RNAcentral. Lineage: Eukaryota; Viridiplantae; Streptophyta; Magnoliopsida; Rosales; Rosaceae.
UAUUAUGAGUUUUUCAUGGUGUUCUUCAAAUGUUCUUGAAGUUCUUGCCAAGAACAAAAAGGUUUGAAGUUUUGAUUCAAAAGUUUUAUGUUUUUCAUAAAGUUUUGGUUUAAUUUUGAUGGGUGAUGGAUAUUGGUGAAGCAUUAAAAUUGGAUUUAAUGUUUGUCAAAAACUCAUUAAUGUUUUACAAAACAUUUUCUUACAAACCAUCAAUUUCACAUCACCCACCAAAAUCAACUUGCAUAUUGCACAUGCAUGCACCACUUGCAUAAAACCCUUUCACACUCAUUCACACCUCUAAAAACCGGCCACCCCCUAGUGGGGGUACUUUUGGGGUCUUUUAUGCAAUUACAUAAAGUUUUGAUACUUUU